Molecule: long non-coding RNA, 358 nt
Organism: Herpailurus yagouaroundi (jaguarundi)
Lineage: Eukaryota; Metazoa; Chordata; Mammalia; Carnivora; Felidae
Exons: 3
Source: RefSeq, a predicted model, not a curated record
UUCAAGUCUUCCCAAUGGAGACCCCAGAUCCCUUGGAAUAUAAGUCAUUCCCACUGUGCUGUUUGAAUGACCCACCCACAGAAUCGCUCUUUCUAGAUUGAUGACAAGAAGUAUUCCAUGCCUUGGGGAAGAAACUGGAAUUUCAAGCUGUACUUUGGAAGACAUCUUCUUCAGCUGGGUCCAAGUUUCAUUCCACUCUGAUCUGCUCCCUCACUCAAAGGGGAGUAGUAAUUCCAUCUUUGUCUAUCAAACUGGCCAAUGAGAUGGGGGUCACACGACAAUUGCUAUACGACCACCACUAUUGAUGCUGAUUUUCCAUGACUGACAGCAACCGAAUAAAAUUCUCUGGUCUUGAUAU